UAAAUAAAAAGAGGGUGCUCAUAGUAAUGGGCUGAGAUUAAGCGUAAGCUUUGACCUAUAACCUGAUUUGGGUAAUGCCAACGUAGGGAAAUAUGAUUUUUUAAAA
Lachnobacterium bovis DSM 14045 is the source of this 106-nucleotide regulatory RNA element. It matches the Rfam family "TPP riboswitch aptamer (THI element)". Rfam says of the family: Vitamin B(1) in its active form thiamin pyrophosphate (TPP) is an essential coenzyme that is synthesised by coupling of pyrimidine and thiazole moieties in bacteria. The previously detected thiamin-regulatory element, thi box was extended, resulting in a new, highly conserved RNA secondary structure, the THI element, which is widely distributed in eubacteria and also occurs in some archaea. Lineage: Bacteria; Bacillati; Bacillota; Clostridia; Lachnospirales; Lachnospiraceae. The record is from Rfam.